RNAcentral lists this ribosomal RNA (253 nucleotides) under uncultured bacterium. RNAcentral's name for it is "partial 16S ribosomal RNA". It matches the Rfam family "Bacterial small subunit ribosomal RNA", at positions 524 to 776 of the family's 1533-position model. The record is from RNAcentral.
UACGUAGGGUCCGAGCGUUGUCCGGAAUUAUUGGGCGUAAAGGGCUCGUAGGCGGUUCGUCACGUCGGGAGUGAAAACUCGGAGCUUAACUCCGAGCCUGCUUCCGAUACGGGCAGACUAGAGGUAGGCAGGGGAGAGCGGAACUUCUGGUGUAGCGGUGGAAUGCGCAGAUAUCAGGAAGAACACCGGUGGCGAAGGCGGCUCUCUGGGCCUUACCUGACGCUGAGGAGCGAAAGCGUGGGUAGCGAACAGG